CUUCUCGUACUUUUGGAACAGCUAGACAGUCGGCGACGUUCAGACAACACAAGACCUGCUGUUGUCAUGUGUCGGGACGGAUGUACACAAAGUGGACUGUUCUGUUGCAUAUCAAAUAUCAGAGAUCAAAUGAAGAUGGACGAGGAGGUGGACAUAUUCCAAACAGCAAGGCGGUUGAAAAAGCGGCGACCAGAGGCGCUAGAAAAUGUU
This is a long non-coding RNA of Mizuhopecten yessoensis (Yesso scallop), 210 nucleotides long. RefSeq lists it as uncharacterized. NCBI's taxonomy places the organism in Eukaryota, Metazoa, Mollusca, Bivalvia, Pectinida, Pectinidae. The record is from RefSeq and is a predicted model, not a curated record. The transcript is spliced from 2 exons.